UAACGCGUAGGUAACCUGCCUUGUAGCGGGGGAUAACUAUUGGAAACGAUAGCUAAUACCGCAUAACAAUGGAUGACACAUGUCAUUUAUUUUGAAAGGGGCAAUUGCUCCACUACAAGAUGGACCUGCGUUGUAUUAGCUAGUAGGUGAGGUAAUGGCUCACCUAGGCGACGAUACAUAGCCGACCUGAGAGGGUGAUCGGCCACACUGGGACUGAGACACGGCCCAGACUCCUACGGGAGGCAGCAUG
Molecule: ribosomal RNA, 250 nt
Filed under: uncultured bacterium
Lineage: Bacteria
Description: partial 16S ribosomal RNA
Rfam family: Bacterial small subunit ribosomal RNA
Source: RNAcentral